UAGGGAAUCUUCCGCAAUGGGCGAAAGCCUGACGGAGCAACGCCGCGUGAGUGAUGAAGGUCUUCGGAUCGUAAAACUCUGUUAUUAGGGAAGAACAAAUGUGUAAGUAACUAUGCACGUCUUGACGGUACCUAAUCAGAAAGCCACGGCUAACUACGUGCCAGCAGCCGCGGUAAUACGUAGGUGGCAAGCGUUAUCCGGAAUUAUUGGGCGUAAAGCGCGCGUAGGCGGUUUUUUAAGUCUGAUGUGAAAGCCCACGGCUCAACCGUGGAGGGUCAUUGGAAACUGGAUAACUUGAGUGCAGAAGAGGAAAGUGGAAUUCCAUGUGUAGCGGUGAAAUGCGCAGAGAUAUGGAGGAAAACCAGUGGCGAAGGCGACUUUCUGGUCUGUAACUGACGCUAAUGUGCGAAAGCGUGGGGAUCAAACAGG
Molecule: ribosomal RNA, 429 nt
Filed under: Actinomycetes bacterium
Lineage: Bacteria; Bacillati; Actinomycetota; Actinomycetes
Description: Actinobacteria bacterium partial 16S ribosomal RNA
Rfam family: Bacterial small subunit ribosomal RNA
Source: RNAcentral